ACCCCGCGCGCGCGUCUCUGUCGUGGCGCGGCCUCCCGCGGUCUCCUCUGCAAAUGGGCUCCGUGGCCUAGCGCCCCCGUCCCCGCCACCCGUGAUCGUGCGCCGAGGCCCGCGAGGGGUCGCCGCCCAGAUCCCACCAGCCAGCAAGCUAAAGCAUGGCGGCCAUCCCCUCCAGCGGCUCGCUCGUGGCCACCCACGACUACUACCGGCGUGAGUAGCCCCUGCCCCCCAUCCACGCAGAUGCUCUGCUGGCGCCAGUGCCGUCCCCGUGCAGGCUGCGGAACCAGCGCUCGGCCUGAAGGCCGGUGGGCUGGGGGGCUCCGCGCCCCGCGUUGCUGACGGGACCUCUCCUCUCCAGGCCGCCUGGGUUCCA
This 373-nucleotide small RNA is filed under the name Pan troglodytes (chimpanzee). RNAcentral's name for it is "processed transcript". The record is from RNAcentral. Lineage: Eukaryota; Metazoa; Chordata; Mammalia; Primates; Hominidae.